RNAcentral lists this ribosomal RNA (490 nucleotides) under uncultured bacterium. Its description in RNAcentral is "partial 16S ribosomal RNA". It matches the Rfam family "Bacterial small subunit ribosomal RNA", at positions 30 to 507 of the family's 1533-position model. The record is from RNAcentral.
AUUGAACGCUGGCGGCAGGCCUAACACAUGCAAGUCGAACGGUAACAGGAAGAAGCUUGCUUCUUUGCUGACGAGUGGCGGACGGGUGAGUAAUGUCUGGGAAACUGCCUGAUGGAGGGGGAUAACUACUGGAAACGGUAGCUAAUACCGCAUAACGUCGCAAGACCAAAAAGGGGGACCUUCGGGCCUCUUGCCAUCGGACGUGCCCAGAUGGGAUUAGCUAGUAGGUGGGGUAACGGCUCACCUAGGCGACGAUCCCUAGCUGGUCUGAGAGGAUGACCAGCCACACUGGAACUGAGACACGGUCCAGACUCCUACGGUAGGCAGCAGUGGGGAAUAUUGCACAAUGGGCGCAAGCCUGAUGCAGCCAUGCCGCGUGUAUGAAGAAGGCCUUCGGGUUGUAAAGUACUUUCAGCGGGGAGGAAGGGAGUAAAGUUAAUACCUUUGCUCAUUGACGUUACCCGCAGAAGAAGCACCGGCUAACUCCGUG